Molecule: long non-coding RNA, 1565 nt
Organism: Clupea harengus (Atlantic herring)
Lineage: Eukaryota; Metazoa; Chordata; Actinopteri; Clupeiformes; Clupeidae
Exons: 2
Source: RefSeq, a predicted model, not a curated record
CUGCAUUUAUUUCAGUUAAAAAAGGUUUAAAUGCAUAAAAAGAUACCAUGUAUAUGUAGUACCUCUCCCAUAUAUGUACUCACUUUAAUUUUCUAAAAAACAUUAUUUAUUUGUAAUUUUUCUGUUAUUUAAAGUGUCAAAAUAUCAUGUGGUGCGACCGUCCGGCCAUGACUGCUGUUGUGAAAACUUCUUUGAAAAUACUCUAAAUCUAUUCAAAUUUAUUUUCUGCCCUAUUUGGCAUGAUAUCUCAAGUGUUUUGUAGUCCUGUACAAAAUUGCAAAGCAUUUGGAUUUAUAUUUCCAUCAUAAUAUACAACCAAACUUUGUCCGAUGAUGUCCAUUUUAUGAAAUAUCAUGUGGUGCGACCAUCAAGAAACGACCACUUUGGGACAAUUAUGUUGCAACUUCCUGUUUUUGAAUGGAUAUCAUCAUUGACCAGUUUGCCAAGGACCCAUGGAAUCAGCAACAGAUGCCAGACAGCCUCCGCCAUGAUGAGGAGGGAGUGUGGGCACACCUGGAGCCCAUACUGAAAGAGCUUCAGGCAACCUGCCAAAAGAUUACAGUUCUACAUGUAGUCAGAUGGACCUGUGGUUGAAUCCGCUGUAAAGACGUCAUGGAGCUUGCGCAUCAAGUGAGAAGUCGAGAUCCAACUAGCAAUCUACCGAUUGCUGAACGACUUCUCUACCACCUGAAAUCACUCUUACCACAGCACUCCAACACGACUAGUUAGAAUCGGGCACUUCGCCAUAACCCUCGUUUGUGUUAAAUAACUGUUUUGAAACUUCCGUCUAUAAUAUAAAUCUUUUCACGUCAGAUUUUCUCAUAUAAGCUAUUGCGGACACUUUAAAAAAAAAAAAAAAAAAAAAAACAGUUUUGAACAAUGGUCUGAUGCAAAUAGAUUAAGCAGUGAUAGAUUAAAGUAUGGCUUGUUAAUGUCAUCCCUUUCCUAACCAGCUUCUUAACGAUUUAGUUAUUGUUGUUGCUGUUAUGAAGUGAAGCAGGGUUAAUUAGGGUUCAGGCUGAGGUUGUGAGGCGUGGCGUGGGGCGUUCAUGUGGGGCAAUUACGUCAUCGGGUUAGAAAAUGUGCGGAUCAGGCGUCCAGACAAACACGGAUCCGCUGGUGGGUUGGAAUCUUUCCACUCUUAAGACCGGUUUCAAAAGGUUGCGGAUUCAGUGACCCAAUCUGCCGGAUUCGUGUGGACGGAGGGCAGAUCCGACAACAUUUCUUUCCGGAUUCAGGCAAUCCAGGUUCCGUGUGGACGGGCCCUUAAGAUUCACCAGGUUUUGUUUUCACAAGCGGCACAAAUAAGUCAUAGGGAGGUGUCAUGCUUUUGAAGCAUGUAGAAAUGAAGACAUGCCUAUGUUACCAGCCAGUAAAAGUAGACCUGAGGGAAACAAUGUGCCACACUGAAGAUCACUCAAGCACUCCUGAGCGACCAGGGAGCAAGCUAGUCUUCAAGACCUGAAUGGCAAGUUUGAUGCGAUUUUUAUAUAAAAAUAUGUUUAUGUAAUGUUUGUGUUCAUGAAAAUUCUAUGAAUUUUUGAAUAAAAUCUGGUUUUAAUCUA